This 484-nucleotide ribosomal RNA is filed under the name uncultured bacterium. RNAcentral's name for it is "partial 16S ribosomal RNA". It matches the Rfam family "Bacterial small subunit ribosomal RNA", at positions 30 to 507 of the family's 1533-position model. The record is from RNAcentral.
AUUGAACGCUGGCGGCAGGCCUAACACAUGCAAGUCGAGCGGAUGAAGGGAGCUUGCUCCUGGAUUCAGCGGCGGACGGGUGAGUAAUGCCUAGGAAUCUGCCUGGUAGUGGGGGAUAACGUCCGGAAACGGGCGCUAAUACCGCAUACGUCCUGAUGGAGAAAGUGGGGGAUCUUCGGCCCUCACGCUAUCAGAUGAGCCUAGGUCGGAUUAGCUAGUUGGUGGGGUAAAGGCCUACCAAGGCGACGAUCCGUAACUGGUCUGAGAGGAUGAUCAGUCAGACUGGAAGUGAGACACGGUCCAGACUCCUACGGGAAGAAGCAGUGGGGAAUAUUGGACAAUGGGCGAAAGCCUGAUCCAGCCAUGCCGCGUGUGUGAAGAAGGUCUUCGGAUUGUAAAGCACUUUAAGUUGGGAGGAAGGGCAGUAAGUUAAUACCUUGCUGUUUUGACGUUACCAACAGAAUAAGCACCGGCUAACUUCGUG